GAUGAACGCUGGCGGCGUGCCUAAUACAUGCAAGUCGAGCGAACAGACGAGGAGCUUGCUCCUUCGACGUUAGCGGCGGACGGGUGAGUAACACGUAGGUAACCUACCUAUAAGACUGGGAUAACUUCGGGAAACCGGAGCUAAUACCGGAUAAUAUUUCGAACCGCAUGGUUCGAUAGUGAAAGAUGGCUUUGCUAUCACUUAUAGAUGGACCUGCGCCGUAUUAGCUAGUUGGUAAGGUAACGGCUUACCAAGGCAACGAUACGUAGCCGACCUGAGAGGGUGAUCGGCCACACUGGAACUGAGACACGGUCCAGACUCCUACGGGAGGCAGCAGUAGGGAAUCUUCCGCAAUGGGCGAAAGCCUGACGGAGCAACGCCGCGUGAGUGAUGAAGGUCUUCUGAUCGUAAAACUCUGUUAUUAGGGAAGAACAAACGUGUAAGUAACUGUGCACGUCUUGACGGUACCUAAUCAGAAAGCCACGGCUAACUACGUG
RNAcentral lists this ribosomal RNA (497 nucleotides) under uncultured bacterium. RNAcentral's name for it is "partial 16S ribosomal RNA". It matches the Rfam family "Bacterial small subunit ribosomal RNA", at positions 28 to 507 of the family's 1533-position model. The record is from RNAcentral.